GUGCUCACCUUGGGUAAACAUACUAAAAUUAGAACCAUACAAAGAAGAUUAGCAUGGCCCCUAUGCAAGGAUGACAGACAAAUUCGUGAAGCAUUCCAUAUUUUG
This is a small nuclear RNA of Gorilla gorilla gorilla (western lowland gorilla), 105 nucleotides long. NCBI's taxonomy places the organism in Eukaryota, Metazoa, Chordata, Mammalia, Primates, Hominidae. The record is from Ensembl.